RNAcentral lists this unclassified non-coding RNA (525 nucleotides) under Hevea brasiliensis (rubber tree). Lineage: Eukaryota; Viridiplantae; Streptophyta; Magnoliopsida; Malpighiales; Euphorbiaceae. The record is from RNAcentral.
AAUCUAUCAAUCAUGUAUAUAUGAUACGAGUUGAAGCUUGUGAUUAUAACAAAAAUAAAGCAAUCUGGAGAUCAUACAGCUUUCUAGUCAUUUUGCUCCGUAAAUCAUUGGUCAACAAUAUUUUCACCAGACUACCAACAGCAUAUAUCAGAAAGGAGCACCUAAGAAAACACAUAAUCGGGGAUACAUUCAAAUCGUUGAUCAAUUUGUCACUAUUAAUACACUUCCUAGUCGCGGUCAGCAUCUUCCAGUUCUUCAUCCUCGGGUACACCACGAAGAUAGAGGACAUUGUUACAUCUAAUCAGGAUCUCUCCGAGAGAGCCAGAGCUUACUCCAUCAGUGAAUUCUUCUGCAUUUGCAAGCUGCAAGUUCAUAUAUGAAUCCACAGAGACCAGAUACCCUUUGUACUCUAAUCCCCACUUCAGCUUUACCAUCACAGGCUUUCCAGUCAAAUUGUUCAAAAAAGGCUUCGGAUUAACUGGUACUGUCGCCAUUGAAGCUUUUCGAGGUUUAGGGUUUCUCAAA